UCGCCCAGAUCCACUCUCCUCUCGCUCCCUCUGCCUUCGCUGCCCGCACGACCAUGGUCGUCCCCCCCACUGAAGCCCGCGGCCACCGACCGCCCCGUGCCGCACCGGCGAGUCAAGGAGCUCCUCCAUGUCCCGCUACAUCGUCUACGAGGCCGGAUCGGUCCAGAUCGUGCCUGCAUCGGUCGCCACCGCUACCCCGCCGUGGAUCCGGCCACCGCUAGCCGUUCCAAGACUUCCAGGAGGACCGCAGGGCUCGUCGCCGUCGCCUACAGCACCGGAUCGACGUCGCGGAACCCCUGCAGCGCCACCAUCGUCUUGUUCCCCUCCGCCUCGGCCGUCGUCGAUCCUCGGCGAACACCACCGCUCCGGUCCUUCCCGCGUCCACGCGAGCUCGCCGUCGUCUCCCCCGAUGUGAGCCUCCCCUUCGACCCCCUGUGUUGUUCCCUCUCGUUACAGUCACCGUAGCCGUUGCCGUAUCCUCCCAUGGCCGCGCCUGGAGCUCUGCUCCCGCGUGCGCCCAUGCGAGCCCCUUGUCGUCCCUGGCCUUGCCCGCGUGCUGCUACCGCCGCUGCGCUCGCCAAGCCCCCUGGCCGCGACCGGCCGGGCGCCGCCUGUUCCUUGGCCGCGCCCCGCUCGUGCACGCGCACCCGCGUGUUUGCCCCCGCUGCUCCCCGCUCGCGCGCGCCCGUAGCCUCUCCCCUGCCUUGCUACUGCUCGCCGUCGCGACUCCUUUGCUGCUUGCUGCUCCGCCCGCACCGCAUCGCAUCGCUGCACUCUGCUGCUGCUCUGCUACAGUAACAUUCAGUUACUGUAGCAGUGGCUAGCUUCGGUGCUACUACACCAUUUAGCUCCCUGGACAGUCCCUAAACAACAGAUAGUCAAGUGCUAAUAUAGGUAAAAAAUAAUUUUUGAAGGGAGUACACAUGACAAACUCCAUUUUAUCCCACGGGGUCAAAUCCUUUUGAUGAAUAAAUUAAAUCCUACAAAAAUCAUAAAAUGACAUCUUACGUUAAUAACUCCUAGCCUACUAACUUGUGUGUGCUGUGUGUGUGCGCCGUGCAUGUGGCCGGAGUAGUGGCCGGCCCUUGCUUAAAUUAGUACUACUAGGUAUUAAUUAGUGUAGAUUAGUCUAUGUGUAGAUGACAUGUGGGUCCUAUUCAAUUAGGUUAGUUUUUUGUACUCAUUUAGGUACAGCCUAUGACAUAAGGGCCACCCCCUCCUUUUUGACCAGUCAACUUUGACUUGGUCAGCCCGUUUUAAAACAUUUCCAAAAAUAUUAGAAUACGUCUAAAACAUUUGAAAAUUCUUAGAAAUUAAACCGUAAGUCAGAUGAAAAUGUUAUGUACACGAAAGUUGCUCAGAAUGAUGAGACGAAUCCGGAUACGCAGCCUGUUCGUCCGCCACGCAUACCUAACCUAUCGAACUCGCAACUUUCCCCAUCCGGCUCCUUUGCCCGAAAACGCGAAACACCGGGGAUACUUUCCCGGAUGUUUCCCCCCUUCGCCGGUAUCACCUAUCCCUACGUUAGGUCACCUCUAGCACAACGUAUUACCGCUUCUUGCUUUUUGUUACAUUUGAUUGCUCUGUUAUGUAUUGUGUUCCCCCUCCGUUACUUCUUUCCGGUAGACCCUGAGACCGAUGCCGGUACCUCUGUGAUUGACUACAUCGACGACCUCUCCUUCUUGCCAGAGCAACCAGGCAAGCCCCCCCUUUGAUCACCAGAUAUCGCCUAUUCUCCUCUAUACUGCUUGCAUUAGAGUAGUGUAGCAUGUUACUGCUUUCCGUUGAUCCUAUUCUGAUGCAUAGCCUGACAUUGUUGCUACAUCUAUUGAUACCUUACCUGCAAUCCUAAAUGCUUAGUAUAGGAUGCUAGUUUAUCAUCAUUGGCCCUACAUUUUGUCAGUCUGCCUUGCUAUACUAUCGGGCCAUGAUCACUUGGGAGGUGAUCACGGGUUUAUACUAUACAUACAUACAUACUAUACAGAUGGUGACUAAAGUCGGGUCAGCUCGAAGAGUACCUGCGAGUGAUUCACGGAUUGGGGGCUGAAAGGACCUUUGUCCCGACGGCCCUCUGUGUGGAUCUUUGUGGCGGAGCGACAGGGCAGAUUGAGACCGCCUAGCUGAGAGGUGGGCCUGGCCCUGGUCGGCGUCCGCGGUUGCUUCAUAAUAACAUGCUUAACGAGAUCUUGGUAUUUGAUCUGAGUCUGGCCAUUUGGUCUAUACGCACUAACCAUCUACGCGGGAGUAGUUAUGGGUAUCCCGACGUCGUGGUAUCAGCCAAAGCCUUCGUGAUGUCAGCGACUGAGUGGCGCGCGCCGGAUUGGACUGGAACGCCACUAGGCUAGGUCUGCUUCCGGUCGCGUACGCAACGUGCAGGUGUGCAAAGGGCGAUGGGCCCAGACCCCUGCGCCAUAGGAGUUAGACCAGCGUGCUGACCUCUCUAUUGUGCUAGGUGGGGCUGCGACGUGUUGAUCUUCCGAGGCCGGGCAUGACCCAGGAAAGUGUGUCCGGCCAAAUGGGAUCGAGCGUGUUGGGUUAUGUGGUGCACCUCUGCAGGGAAGUUUAUCUAUUCGAAUAGCCGUGUCCCUCGGUAAAAGGACGACCCGGAGUUGUACCAUGACCUUAUGACAACUAGAACCGGAUACUUAAUAAAACACACCCUUCCAAGUUCCACAGACAACUCGGUGAUCGCUUUUCCACAGGGCGACGAGGGGAGGAUCGCCGGGUAGGAUUAUGCUAUGCGAUGCUACUGGAGAUGCUACUUAGAGAUGCUACUUGGAGAUGCUACUUGGCGAUGCUACUUGGAGGACUUCAGUCUACUCUCUUCUACGUGCUGCAAGACGGAGGCUGCCAGAAGUGUAGUCUUCGACAGGAUUAGUUAUCCCCCUCUUAUUCUGGCAUUCUGCAGUUCAGUCCACUGAUAUGGCCCUUUACACAUAUACCCAUGCAUAUGUAGUGUAGCUCCUUGCUUGCGAGUACUUUGGAUGAGUAAUCACGGUUGCUUUCUUCCCCCUUUUCCCCUCUUUCCUUGCUUUCUGGUUGUCGCAACCAGAUGCUGGAGUCCAGGAGCCAGACGCCACCGUUGACGACGACUCCUACUAC
Molecule: long non-coding RNA, 3102 nt
Filed under: Triticum aestivum (bread wheat)
Lineage: Eukaryota; Viridiplantae; Streptophyta; Magnoliopsida; Poales; Poaceae
Description: long non-coding RNA (TAES_LNC007093)
Source: RNAcentral